Molecule: transfer RNA, 85 nt
Filed under: Blattabacterium sp. (Nauphoeta cinerea)
Lineage: Bacteria; Pseudomonadati; Bacteroidota; Flavobacteriia; Flavobacteriales; Blattabacteriaceae
Description: tRNA-Leu
Source: RNAcentral
CGCGGGUUCAAAUCCCGUUUCUCGCUUUUUAAGCACCCGGAUGGUGGAAUAGGUAGACACACAGGACUUAAAAUCCUGUGAUCAU